Molecule: ribosomal RNA, 492 nt
Filed under: uncultured bacterium
Lineage: Bacteria
Description: partial 16S ribosomal RNA
Rfam family: Bacterial small subunit ribosomal RNA
Source: RNAcentral
AGUGAACGCUGGCGGUAGGCCUAACACAUGCAAGUCGAACGGCAGCACAGUAAUAGCUUGCUCUUACGGGUGGCGAGUGGCGGCCGGGUGAUGAAUACAUCGGAAUCUACUUUUUCGUGGGGGCUAACGUAGGGACACUUACGCUAAUACCGCAUACGACCUACGGGUGAAAGCUGGGGAUCUUCGGCCCUUGCGCGAUUGAAUGAGCCGAUGUCGGAUUAGCUAGUUGGCGGGGUAAAGGCCCACCAAGGCGACGAUCCGUAGCUGGUCUGAGAGGAUGAUCAGCCACACUGGAACUGAGACACGGUCCAGACUCCUACGGGAGGCAGCAGUGGGGAAUAUUGGACAAUGGGCGCAAGCCUGAUCCAGCCAUACCGCGUGGGUGAAGAAGGUCUUCGGGUUGUAAAGCCCUUUUGUUGGGGAAGAAAAGCAGCAGGUUAAUACCCCGCUGUUCUGACGGUACCCAAAGAAUAAGCACCGGCUAACUUCGUG